This 510-nucleotide ribosomal RNA is filed under the name uncultured bacterium. RNAcentral describes it as "partial 16S ribosomal RNA". It matches the Rfam family "Bacterial small subunit ribosomal RNA", at positions 28 to 507 of the family's 1533-position model. The record is from RNAcentral.
GACGAACGCUGGCGGCGUGCUUAACACAUGCAAGUCGAACGAAGAGCGAUGGAAGCUUGCUUCUAUCAAUCUUAGUGGCGAACGGGUGAGUAACGCGUAAUCAACCUGCCCUUCAGAGGGGGACAACAGUUGGAAACGACUGCUAAUACCGCAUACGAUCUGACCUCGGCAUCGAGGAUAGAUGAAAGGUGGCCUCUAUUUAUAAGCUAUCACUGAAGGAGGGGAUUGCGUCUGAUUAGCUAGUUGGAGGGGUAACGGCCCACCAAGGCGAUGAUCAGUAGCCGGUCUGAGAGGAUGAACGGCCACAUUGGGACUGAGACACGGCCCAGACUCCUACGGGAGGCAGCAGGGGGGAAUCUUCCGCAAUGGACGAAAGUCUGACGGAGCAACGCCGCGGGAGUGAUGACGGCCUUCGGGUUGUAAAGCUCUGUUAAUCGGGACGAAAGGCCUUCUUGCGAAUAGUUAGAAGGAUUGACGGUACCGGAAGAGAAAGCCACGGCUAACUACGUG